Molecule: ribosomal RNA, 301 nt
Filed under: uncultured bacterium
Lineage: Bacteria
Description: partial 16S ribosomal RNA
Rfam family: Bacterial small subunit ribosomal RNA
Source: RNAcentral
CAGUAGCCGCGGGAAUUCGGAGGGCGCGAGCGUUACCCGGAUUUACUGGGCGUAAAGGGCGUGUAGGCGGCCUGGGGCGUCCCAUGUGAAAGGCCACGGCUCAACCGUGGAGGAGCGUGGGAUACGCUCAGGCUAGAGGGUGGGAGAGGGUGGUGGAAUUCCCGGAGUAGCGGUGAAAUGCGCAGAUACCGGGAGGAACGCCGAUGGCGAAGGCAGCCACCUGGUCCACUUCUGACGCUGAGGCGCGAAAGCGUGGGGAGCAAACAGGAUUAGAUACCCCAGUAGUCCCUGUCUCUUAUAC